Molecule: long non-coding RNA, 973 nt
Filed under: Vulpes vulpes (red fox)
Lineage: Eukaryota; Metazoa; Chordata; Mammalia; Carnivora; Canidae
Description: lncRNA (ENSVVUG00000014688.1)
Source: RNAcentral
GAAAAACACACAUUGUAAAAUAAGCAUUCUUCAAAGACAACCUGAAGACAUCUGGGAAUUCCAAAGGCUGAAAAUUCCAUGAGUUCAUAGAAGCUUUCACUAAUUCUACUGAUCUAAAGACAAAAAGGAAAGAGUCAACUGUGUGCCCAAACUCAUUUCUGAUGAUUUCUUCCAUCCUACCCCUUCUGCCUCUCUGGGGGUGGCUGUGCCUGUAAAAAACAUUGAAAUUGUCAGGAACAGAGUCAGCUUUCAAGAUUGGAAUGUCAGAGUAGAGUCUUCUUUUCUUUGGACCAGAGGAGGCUUGGUUCGAUUUAUGAUCUUUGAUGUCUCUCCUUUCCUAGUCUUGGCUCUUACAAAUCUAUAUUACCUCUGCUGUCACAGCUUAAGUGUAUCUUUUGGCUUCAGGAAUUGUGGGAGUAUUCAGGAGGCUCAAUUUUUAUGGUAGCAAAACACCUCUACAAACAAACAAAAAGUUCACCAAAAAUAGAAGAGGACAUCAACAAAAUGAUCAGGUGCUUCUCCAAUUUAAUUGUUUGGAAGCAGUCACUGGAAGCAACACUAUGUGACUCAGCUUUGGUGAUACAGUCCAGCUGGGGUCUGACAGGUAAAUAAUUACCACUCAUCAGGGCCUAAAUGAAUUUAGGUUCUUUAAAGUCAGAUGUGGGGAAGGGGGUAAGGGUUAUAAAUGAACUGUUAGCAAUAUCAGGAGAAAUAGGAGCUGAGCAGUCUAGUCUUAGCCGAAAACAACAAAGAGAAGAGUUAACAAAAUAAGACCUCCACUGCCACAUGUAUUAUAGCACAGAGCCCUCUGGCUGGGGCUCUCUCAUUCCCCAUCCAGGCAUAAUGAGCUUCGGGAUCUUAGGAGCCUCUCCGUAAAACUGAGUUGGGUGAUGAGCUAUUUCCUUUUCAAUCCUCACAAGGUAUAAGCUGAUGAUUUCAUGAUGCAGAAUUCAGAUUUCUUAACAUAAAAAGG